AUUGAACGCUGGUGGCAUGCUUUACACAUGCAAGUCGAACGAGUGGCGCACGGGUGAGUAAUACAUCGGAACGUGUCCCAGCGUGGGGGAUAACUGAUCGAAAGAUCAGCUAAUACAGCAUACGAUUGGAGCGGCCGAUGCCCGAUUGGCGAGUUGGUGAGGGAACGGCUCACCAAGGCGACGAUCGGUAGCUGGUCUGAGAGGACGACCAGCCACACUGGGACUGAGCUACGGCCCAGACUCCGACGCGAGCCAGCCGUGGUGAAUUUUGGUCAAUGGGGGCAACCCUGCUCCAGCCAUGACGCGUGCAGGAUGAAGCUCUUCGGAUUGUAAACUGCUUUUGUCAGGGAAGCGGUGCCUGAAGAAUAAGCACCGGCUAACGACGUGCCAGCAGCCGCGGUAAUAC
This 406-nucleotide ribosomal RNA is filed under the name uncultured bacterium. RNAcentral describes it as "partial 16S ribosomal RNA". It matches the Rfam family "Bacterial small subunit ribosomal RNA", at positions 30 to 526 of the family's 1533-position model. The record is from RNAcentral.